Molecule: small nuclear RNA, 160 nt
Filed under: Nannospalax galili (Upper Galilee mountains blind mole rat)
Lineage: Eukaryota; Metazoa; Chordata; Mammalia; Rodentia; Spalacidae
Description: U1 spliceosomal RNA (ENSNGAG00000009886.1)
Rfam family: U1 spliceosomal RNA
About the family: U1 is a small nuclear RNA (snRNA) component of the spliceosome (involved in pre-mRNA splicing). Its 5' end forms complementary base pairs with the 5' splice junction, thus defining the 5' donor site of an intron.
Source: RNAcentral
AGAGAUACAUGGCAGGGGAGAUACCAUGAUCAGGAAGGUGGUUUUCCCAAGGUGAGGCUCAUCCAUUGCACUCGAGAUGUGCUGGCUCCUGUGAUUUCCCCAAAUUUGGGAAACUUGACUGCAUAAGUUGUAGUGGGGAACUGCAUUCUCACUCUCCCCU